Molecule: ribosomal RNA, 425 nt
Filed under: uncultured bacterium
Lineage: Bacteria
Description: bacterial SSU rRNA
Rfam family: Bacterial small subunit ribosomal RNA
Source: RNAcentral
GUGGGGAAUCUUAGACAAUGGGGGAAACCCUGAUCUAGCCAUGCCGCGUGAGCGAUGAAGGCCUUAGGGUUGUAAAGCUCUUUCAGCUGGGAAGAUAAUGACUGUACCAGCAGAAGAAGCCCCGGCUAACUCCGUGCCAGCAGCCGCGGUAAUACGGAGGGGGCUAGCGUUGUUCGGAAUUACUGGGCGUAAAGCGCACGUAGGCGGACCGGAAAGUCAGAGGUGAAAUCCCAGGGCUCAACCUUGGAACUGCCUUUGAAACUCCUGGUCUUGAGGUCGAGAGAGGUGAGUGGAAUUCCGGGUGUAGAGGUGAAAUUCGUAGAUAUUCGGAGGAACACCAGUGGCGAAGGCGGCUCACUGGCUCGAUACUGACGCUGAGGUGCGAAAGCGUGGGGAGCAAACAGGAUUAGAUACCCGAGUAGUCC